GAACUUUCCUGUGGUUAUAAAAUGGGAGAGUGGUCUUUUGUCUGUUUGCACUGAUUGCGAGCAGACGGGUAGAAGUGUUGUGCAGCCCUGUGGAGUGGUGCCGGGUUAGUCCCUGAUCCGCUGUCUGACCUAAGCAAGCCGGAGAGUAAAGAAUGAACUUGGCAAAGAUGCACAUCCCUUUGAAAAGAUUUCAAGUCUGCAAACUUUCGAUUACCCUGUUUAUACUAGCUUGUAUUUACUGGAAAAAGCCAUGGAGAUAAAAUUAGUAGUCCUCAGCCUGCUACUUGCUAUGACAACAGCAGAUCCAAUGAUGUUGAA
Molecule: long non-coding RNA, 318 nt
Organism: Rhincodon typus (whale shark)
Lineage: Eukaryota; Metazoa; Chordata; Chondrichthyes; Orectolobiformes; Rhincodontidae
Exons: 3
Source: RefSeq, a predicted model, not a curated record